Molecule: ribosomal RNA, 301 nt
Filed under: uncultured bacterium
Lineage: Bacteria
Description: partial 16S ribosomal RNA
Rfam family: Bacterial small subunit ribosomal RNA
Source: RNAcentral
CAGCCGCCACGGUAAUACAGAGGGUGCGAGCGUUAAUCGGAAUUACUGGGCGUAAAGGGCGCGUAGGCGGAUUGUUUAGUUAGGCGUGAAAUUCCUGGGCUUAACCUGGGGACUGCGCUUAAUACAGGCAGUCUAGAGUGAGGAAGAGGGUUGUGGAAUUCCCAGUGUAGAGGUGAAACUCGUAGAUAUUGGGAAGAACACCGGUGGCGAAGGCGGCGACCUGGUCCUUUACUGACGCUGAGGCGCGAAAGCGUGGGGAGCAAACAGGAUUAGAUACCCCCGUAGUCCCUGUCUCUUAUAC